Molecule: long non-coding RNA, 2123 nt
Organism: Thunnus maccoyii (southern bluefin tuna)
Lineage: Eukaryota; Metazoa; Chordata; Actinopteri; Scombriformes; Scombridae
Exons: 2
Source: RefSeq, a predicted model, not a curated record
UGAGCUUCAGAGGUUUUGAUAGGUUAGCCGUUUCCCGUUAGCCAGGCUAGCCGUUUCCCUUGCCUUCCAGUCUUUAUGCUAAGUUAGGCUAACCACACCCUGACUCCACCUCUGUACUGAACAUGCAGACUUGAAGGUGAUCUUCUGAUCUCGCUCUCUAUUUUCCAAAAUGUUGAACUAUUCUUUUAACGUAACCCAGACUAUUUUAUGUUGCAUUUGACCGAUCCACACGUUUGUAACAGAGCACAAUUUUUUUUAACAAGUGAAUUUCACAAAUCAAUAAUGUAUAUGUAUGUAUAUGUAUAUGUAUAUAUCUUGGCACACAUGGAAGACUACAAGUACCACCAUGCAACUGACUUUUUUAUGAACAAUGUUUGGAAUGUAAAAAAGUUCAAACUUUAGCUUCCCCUUUACUUUUAUUUGUCCUUUCUUGCAUCUAAAUAUCAAAUGAGAUUUCACUGAAUGGAAAAUUGAGUGAUGGUUAAGAAAGAAGUAUUGCCAGUAAAUUGCAUCAGGACUCACUUUAUGACAAAGAACUCCCAUUCAAGGUGUGAGCUUAUUGAGCUGUGCUCUGGGAAUAUUUGUAUUAAAAUGUAGGAGAGCUGAAGUUUCUUCAACGCAGUGGGAGAUCCACUGGUGACACAUGAGGAAAAUGUUAUUAAGCAAAGUCAGUUCAGCAGUUUGAGCUCCUCUAACCUGUGGAACAUGUUUUUUCUGCCUCUGCACAUUAAACCCAGAGGGGAUCUUUUCAGGCAGCUUCAUCAGCAACCUCUGGUCCUAUCAGAGAUGGCAAUGACAGUCAGUUGCUUUAGUCUAUACGGAAAUAUCUGAGUAACUGUUUGGUCAUAGUGGAUAUCUGUACAACAUUUUAUGGCACAUCAUCAGAGGUUGAAUCCUUGGUGAUCCCCUGACUUUACCUGUGACACCACCAUGUGGUUGACAUUUGUGGUUUGAGUGAAAUUUCUCGUCUACUAUUGAUUGCUACUAGAUUGAUUGCUGUGAAAUUUGGUAUGGUAAUAGCAUUGAUGACUUUUCUCCUAGCGCCAAAUCAGGUCAAAAUUUCAGUUUGUGCAGCUCCAGACACUCCAGUAAUGGUCCAAGAAAUAGUCUGGCACAUAAUCCCUUGUAAACGGCAAAAUGCUGUUUUUACUGUACAUUUUUGUUUUUUUGUUUUUGUUCAGAUUAAACAAGAUACAAUUUGCUAAUUAUUGAGCUUUAGAGGUGCUGUUAGGAGGAUUUAGUUACCGUUGGACAGCACUAAGCUAAAUGUUUCCCCCUCCCAGUCUUUGUGGUUAGCUAAGCUAUCUGGCUGUAGCCUUAUAUUUAACGGACAGAUGAGAGUGAGAGUGGUGUUAAACUUACUAUCUAACUUUUUGUCAGAAAACAAAUAAGCACAUUUCCUCAAAUGUUAAACUAUUCCUUUAAAGGAUUGGUUCACAUUUUUCAACUCUGUGUUAAUACAAUACUACGCCAGUAUGCAAAUUAAAAUGGUACAUGAACUGCACUCAACUCAACACUUCUCUACCUUAGUGGAGAAGGCACUUUACAAUUUACCUCUCAUUCACACACACACACAGGAUCAAACCACCAACCCUGUAAUCAAGGAACAACCUCAUGCGGCAACUAACUCAGCUUGAGGCUGAAGUACGUUAAAGUGCAAUACCACCAACGGCCACUAGGUGCUGGCUCCAAAAAAUCCCUGGCUCCAAUUGACAAGGAUUUUUCUCCAGACAAGCAGUUCUAAUGUCUUCCUGGUUAAGGAGUUACACCAACAAAACCCUCACAGGAUGCUGUCAUGCAAUAUUUUGCAUUUGAAAGUUGAAUGUUACUUGAUUAGCCCAAGUGUGCAGCACUCAGCGUUUCCAUUCAUUAAAUCCCUGCAGCAGGACUGAUAUGUUGAUAAAUGCACAGCCCCUGAGAAGUGCUGCACGAGAGCGCAGAGCCAUUACGUAUGCCUGAACUGGUUCCAUCUUCAGUCCUGUGGAGCAUCAGUGUAACAUGGUGAGGAAUGAAACUUUAGCUCAAUGAGGCUUUCCAGUUUAAAUAGUGGACCACGACAUGCUGGUGUAUUUGUCAAACUCAUUUACGUAUCAUUCUUGAAAUAAAGAAAUUCAAAUAAACCA